GGUUAAGCGACUAAGCGUACACGGUGGAUGCCCUGGCAGUCAGAGGCGAUGAAGGGCGUGCUAAUCUGCGAUAAGCGCCGGUAAGGUGAUAUGAACCGUUAUAACCGGCGAUACCCGAAUGGGGAAACCCAGUGUGACUCGUCACACUAUCAUUAACUGAAUCCAUAGGUUAAUGAGGCGAACCGGGGGAACUGAAACAUCUAAGUACCCCGAGGAAAAGAAAUCAACCGAGAUUCCCCCAGUAGCGGCGAGCGAACGGGGAGGAGCCCAGAGCCUGAAUCAGCAUGUGUGUUAGUGGAAGCGUCUGGAAAGGCGCGCGAUACAGGGUGACAGCCCCGUACACAAAAGCGCAUGUGCUGUGAGCUCGAUGAGUAGGGCGGGACACGUGGUAUCCUGUCUGAAUAUGGGGGGACCAUCCUCCAAGGCUAAAUACUCCUGACUGACCGAUAGUGAACCAGUACCGUGAGGGAAAGGCGAAAAAGAACCCCGGCGAGGGGAGUGAAAAAGAACCUGAAACCGUGUACGUACAAGCAGUGGGAGCACAGGUUUACCUGUGUGACUGCGUACCUUUUGUAUAAUGGGUCAGCGACUUAUAUUCUGUAGCAAGGUUAACCGAAUAGGGGAGCCGGAGGGAAACCGAGUCUUAAUUGGGCGUUAAGUUGCAGGGUAUAGACCCGAAACCCGGUGAUCUAGCCAUGGGCAGGUUGAAGGUUGGGUAACACUAACUGGAGGACCGAACCGACUAAUGUUGAAAAAAUUAGCGGAUGACCUGUGGCUGGGGGUGAAAGGCCAAUCAAACCGGGAGAUAGCUGGUUCUCCCCGAAAGCUAUUUAGGUAGCGCCUCGUGAAUUCAUCUCCGGGGGUAGAGCACUGUUUCGGCUAGGGGGCCAUCCCGGCUUACCAACCCGAUGCAAACUGCGAAUACCGGAGAAUGUUAUCACGGGAGACACACGGCGGGUGCUAACGUCCGUCGUGAAGAGGGAAACAACCCAGACCGCCAGCUAAGGUCCCAAAGUCAUGGUUAAGUGGGAAACGAUGUGGGAAGGCCCAGACAGCCAGGAUGUUGGCUUAGAAGCAGCCAUCAUUUAAAGAAAGCGUAAUAGCUCACUGGUCGAGUCGGCCUGCGCGGAAGAUGUAACGGGGCUAAACCAUGCACCGAAGCUGCGGCAGCGAACGUAUCACUUAAAGCGAUUCAGCGGGUUACGAUUGACGGAGCGAAGCGACGUCAAAGCGUAUACAAAGUCGAGUCGGUUUAAGGAUACGUUCGUUGGGUAGGGGAGCGUUCUGUAAGCCUGUGAAGGUGGCCUGUGAGGGUUGCUGGAGGUAUCAGAAGUGCGAAUGCUGACAUAAGUAACGAUAAAGCGGGUGAAAAGCCCGCUCGCCGGAAAGACCAAGGGUUCCUGUCCAACGUUAAUCGGGGCAGGGGUGAGUCGACCCCUAAGGCGAGGCCGAAAGGCGUAGUCGAUGGGAAACAGGUUAAUAUUCCUGUACUUGGUGUUACUGCGAAGGGGGACGGAGAAGGCUAUGUUGGCCGGGCGACGGUUGUCCCGGUUUAAGCGUGUAGGUGUGUGUUCCAGGUAAAUCCGGUUCACUUUAACACUGAGGCGUGAUGACGAGGCACUACGGUGCUGAAGCAACAAAUGCCCUGCUUCCAGGAAAAGCCUCUAAGCAUCAGGUAACAUCAAAUCGUACCCCAAACCGACACAGGUGGUCAGGUAGAGAAUACCAAGGCGCUUGAGAGAACUCGGGUGAAGGAACUAGGCAAAAUGGUGCCGUAACUUCGGGAGAAGGCACGCUGACACGUAGGUGAAGUGAUUUACUCAUGGAGCUGAAGUCAGUCGAAGAUACCAGCUGGCUGCAACUGUUUAUUAAAAACACAGCACUGUGCAAACACGAAAGUGGACGUAUACGGUGUGACGCCUGCCCGGUGCCGGAAGGUUAAUUGAUGGGGUCAGCGCAAGCGAAGCUCCUGAUCGAAGCCCCGGUAAACGGCGGCCGUAACUAUAACGGUCCUAAGGUAGCGAAAUUCCUUGUCGGGUAAGUUCCGACCUGCACGAAUGGCGUAAUGAUGGCCAGGCUGUCUCCACCCGAGACUCAGUGAAAUUGAACUCGCUGUGAAGAUGCAGUGUACCCGCGGCAAGACGGAAAGACCCCGUGAACCUUUACUAUAGCUUGACACUGAACAUUGAGCCUUGAUGUGUAGGAUAGGUGGGAGGCUUUGAAGCGUGGACGCCAGUCUGCGUGGAGCCGACCUUGAAAUACCACCCUUUAAUGUUUGAUGUUCUAACGUGGACCCGUAAUCCGGGUUGCGGACAGUGUCUGGUGGGUAGUUUGACUGGGGCGGUCUCCUCCUAAAGAGUAACGGAGGAGCACGAAGGUUGGCUAAUCCUGGUCGGACAUCAGGAGGUUAGUGCAAUGGCAUAAGCCAGCUUGACUGCGAGCGUGACGGCGCGAGCAGGUGCGAAAGCAGGUCAUAGUGAUCCGGUGGUUCUGAAUGGAAGGGCCAUCGCUCAACGGAUAAAAGGUACUCCGGGGAUAACAGGCUGAUACCGCCCAAGAGUUCAUAUCGACGGCGGUGUUUGGCACCUCGAUGUCGGCUCAUCACAUCCUGGGGCUGAAGUAGGUCCCAAGGGUAUGGCUGUUCGCCAUUUAAAGUGGUACGCGAGCUGGGUUUAGAACGUCGUGAGACAGUUCGGUCCCUAUCUGCCGUGGGCGCUGGAGAACUGAGGGGGGCUGCUCCUAGUACGAGAGGACCGGAGUGGACGCAUCACUGGUGUUCGGGUUGUCAUGCCAAUGGCACUGCCCGGUAGCUAAAUGCGGAAGAGAUAAGUGCUGAAAGCAUCUAAGCACGAAACUUGCCCCGAGAUGAGUUCUCCCUGAGACUUAGAGUCUCCUGAAGGAACGUUGAAGACGACGACGUUGAUAGGCCGGGUGUGUAAGCGCAGCGAUGCGUUGAGCUAACCGGUACUAAUGAACCGUGAGGCUUAACCUU
RNAcentral lists this ribosomal RNA (2992 nucleotides) under Salmonella enterica. Its description in RNAcentral is "23S ribosomal RNA". It matches the Rfam family "Bacterial large subunit ribosomal RNA". Lineage: Bacteria; Pseudomonadati; Pseudomonadota; Gammaproteobacteria; Enterobacterales; Enterobacteriaceae. The record is from RNAcentral.